Molecule: long non-coding RNA, 609 nt
Filed under: Heterocephalus glaber (naked mole-rat)
Lineage: Eukaryota; Metazoa; Chordata; Mammalia; Rodentia; Bathyergidae
Description: lncRNA (ENSHGLG00100046620.1)
Source: RNAcentral
UUUAAGCUUUAAAAGUAUGUAAAUCAAAGGGCAAAUAAAUUAUAUUUAAGCUAUUAAUUACACAGUGCAUAUGCCUUUACUUACUUUCCUAACUAGCUAUAAGUAAUGAAUUUCUCCAGUGUUUAUUUAAACAGUUUAUUUUUCAAGACAGGUAUAUGUUGCACCCCUAUAAGUGCUACAUAUUUCCUUUUAGGAAGCACAAAUAUGCAGUACGUUUAGUAGCUUGGUGGAGACGUUUUGGGUUUGUUAUUUUUUCCUAACAACUGAGGAAGGAGCUGUGUUUGUGUCCAGGCACCACUUCUUUAAUUGUACAACGAAUAAAAGAAGGCGACAACUAGAGCAAGCAAGAGCAUUGUUAAGGGCCGAGGAUUUAGCUCAGUGGUUCCGCCACCUGCCUCUCAAACGCAAGGUCCCAGUUUCGAUCCCUGGGCAAUCCUCAUGCUCUCGCUUUGUGCUCAGCAAGAACACCUGGGAUUCUUCAGCUUUGCCAUGUGUAGAGAACAGCCCAAAAAUAGGCCUGCUAAAACUUCCAAGAUGGAUUGCUAGACUUUGUGAGUCACCUCUGAAACUUAAAGCUCUGCGCUUUGUGAUUUUUGUUUGCAUCAUUAG